RNAcentral lists this ribosomal RNA (256 nucleotides) under uncultured bacterium. RNAcentral describes it as "partial small subunit ribosomal RNA". It matches the Rfam family "Bacterial small subunit ribosomal RNA", at positions 26 to 286 of the family's 1533-position model. The record is from RNAcentral.
AGGACGAACGCUGGCGGCGUGCUUAACACAUGCAAGUCGAGCGGAAAGGCCCUUCGGGGUACUCGAGCGGCGAACGGGUGAGUAACACGUGAGCAACCUGCCCCUGGCUCUGGGAUAGCCUCCGGAAACGGGGAUUAAUACCGGACAUGACCUGGGACUGCAUGGUUCUGGGUGGAAAGUUUUUCGGCCUAGGGUGGGGCUCGCGGCCUAUCAGCUUGUUGGUGGGGUAACGGCCUACCAAGGCGACGACGGGUAG